GGUCGAGUAGCUCAGUCGGUAGAGCAGGGGAUUGAAAAUCCCUGUGUCGGGGGUUCAAGUCCCUCUUCGACCACCA
Molecule: transfer RNA, 76 nt
Filed under: Coriobacteriaceae bacterium
Lineage: Bacteria; Bacillati; Actinomycetota; Coriobacteriia; Coriobacteriales; Coriobacteriaceae
Also listed under: 1 other name
Description: tRNA-Phe
Rfam family: tRNA
About the family: Transfer RNA (tRNA) molecules are approximately 80 nucleotides in length. Their secondary structure includes four short double-helical elements and three loops (D, anti-codon, and T loops). Further hydrogen bonds mediate the characteristic L-shaped molecular structure. tRNAs have two regions of fundamental functional importance: the anti-codon, which is responsible for specific mRNA codon recognition, and the 3' end, to which the tRNAs corresponding amino acid is attached (by aminoacyl-tRNA synthetases). tRNAs cope with the degeneracy of the genetic code in two manners: having more than one tRNA (with a specific anti-codon) for a particular amino acid; and 'wobble' base-pairing, i.e. permitting non-standard base-pairing at the 3rd anti-codon position.
Source: RNAcentral